This 482-nucleotide ribosomal RNA is filed under the name uncultured bacterium. RNAcentral's name for it is "bacterial SSU rRNA". It matches the Rfam family "Bacterial small subunit ribosomal RNA", at positions 29 to 506 of the family's 1533-position model. The record is from RNAcentral.
UUGAACGCUGGCGGAAUGCUUUACACAUGCAAGUCGAACGGCAGCACGGGGGCAACCCUGGUGGCGAGUGGCGAACGGGUGAGUAAUACAUCGGAACGUGCCCAGUCGUGGGGGAUAACGCAGCGAAAGCUGUGCUAAUACCGCAUACGAUCUACGGAUGAAAGCGGGGGACCUUCGGGCCUCGCGCGAUUGGAGCGGCUGAUGUCGGAUUAGCUAGUUGGUGGGGUAAAGGCCUACCAAGGCGACGAUCCGUAGCUGGUCUGAGAGGAUGAUCAGCCACACUGGGACUGAGACACGGCCCAGACUCCUACGGGAGGCAGCAGUGGGGAAUUUUGGACAAUGGGCGCAAGCCUGAUCCAGCCAUGCCGCGUGAGUGAAGAAGGCCUUCGGGUUGUAAAGCUCUUUCAGACGGAAAGAAAUCGGGCGCGUGAAUAGCGUGCCUGGAUGACGGUACUGUCAGAAGAAGCACCGGCUAACUACGU